GAUGAAGAACGUAGCGAAAUGCGAUAAGUAAUGUGAAUUGCAGAAUUCAGUGAGUCAUCGAAUCUUUGAACGCACAUUGCGCCCAUUAGUAUUCUAGUGGGCAUGCCUGUUCGAGCGUCAUUUCAACCCUUAAGCCUCUGUUGCUUAGCGUUGGGAGCCUACCUACCCGGUAGAUCCUCAAAGUUAGCUGGCAGGGUCGAGGUUCGCCCUAAGCGUAGUAGUUCUUUCUCGCUUCUGCGGCUGCCUAGGCCAUCGCCACAAGCCUUUUAAACUUCAAUGGUUGACCUCGGAUCAGGUAGGAAUACCCGCUGAACUUAAGCAUAUCAAUAAGCGGAGGA
This 338-nucleotide unclassified non-coding RNA is filed under the name soil metagenome. RNAcentral describes it as "partial contains 5.8S ribosomal RNA, internal transcribed spacer 2, and large subunit ribosomal RNA". The stretch from base 1 to 120 matches the Rfam family "5.8S ribosomal RNA", at positions 35 to 154 of the family's 154-position model. The record is from RNAcentral.